RNAcentral lists this ribosomal RNA (398 nucleotides) under uncultured bacterium. RNAcentral's name for it is "partial 16S ribosomal RNA". It matches the Rfam family "Bacterial small subunit ribosomal RNA", at positions 523 to 918 of the family's 1533-position model. The record is from RNAcentral.
AUACGUAGGGUGCGAGCGUUGUCCGGAAUUACUGGGCGUAAAGAGCUCGUAGGUGGUUUGUCGCGUCGUCUGUGAAAUUCCGGGGCUUAACUCCGGGCGUGCAGGCGAUACGGGCACAACUUGAGUACUGUAGGGGAGACUGGAAUUCCUGGUGUAGCGGUGAAAUGCGCAGAUAUCAGGAGGAACACCGGUGGCGAAGGCGGGUCUCUGGGCAGUAACUGACGCUGAGGAGCGAAAGCAUGGGUAGCGAACAGGAUUAGAUACCCUGGUAGUCCAUGCCGUAAACGGUGGGCGCUAGGUGUAGGGGUCUUCCACGACUUCUGUGCCGUAGCUAACGCAUUAAGCGCCCCGCCUGGGGAGUACGGCCGCAAGGCUAAAACUCAAAUGAAUUGACGGGG